UUUGAAAGAGUUUUUUGACGCACAUGUUCUUGUCAUGGUGAGAAUAUCGAUAUGCAUGACGAAUAUGGAUACAAAACAUAGAAAAGAACUGCCCUGAAAACCAAACAUGGAAGAUAGAUAAACAAGACAAAAGAGGGAAAAA
This is a long non-coding RNA of Populus euphratica (Euphrates poplar), 142 nucleotides long. RefSeq lists it as uncharacterized. The record is from RefSeq and is a predicted model, not a curated record. The transcript has 3 exons. NCBI's taxonomy places the organism in Eukaryota, Viridiplantae, Streptophyta, Magnoliopsida, Malpighiales, Salicaceae.